Molecule: ribosomal RNA, 422 nt
Filed under: Dictyosphaerium ehrenbergianum
Lineage: Eukaryota; Viridiplantae; Chlorophyta; Trebouxiophyceae; Chlorellales; Chlorellaceae
Description: bacterial SSU rRNA
Rfam family: Bacterial small subunit ribosomal RNA
Source: RNAcentral
GGGGAAUUUUCCGCAAUGGGCGACAGCCUGACGGAGCAAUGCCGCGUGAAGGAUGAAGGCCUAUGGGUUGUAAACUUCUUUUCUCAGAGAAGAAGCAUUGACGGUAUCUGAGGAAUAAGCAUCGGCUAACUCUGUGCCAGCAGCCGCGGUAAGACAGAGGAUGCAAGCGUUAUCCGGAAUGAUUGGGCGUAAAGCGUCUGUAGGUGGCUUAAAAAGUCUCCUGUCAAAGAUCAGGGCUUAACCCUGGGCCGGCAGGAGAAACUCUUAGGCUAGAGUUGGUAGGGGCAGAGGGAAUUCCCGGUGGAGCGGUGAAAUGCGUAGAGAUCGGGAGGAACACCAAAGGCGAAAGCACUCUGCUGGGCCAUAACUGACACUGAGAGACGAAAGCGAGGGGAGCAAAAGGGAUUAGAUACCCCUGUAGU